This is a long non-coding RNA of Stegostoma tigrinum, 3900 nucleotides long. RefSeq lists it as uncharacterized. The record is from RefSeq and is a predicted model, not a curated record. The transcript is spliced from 3 exons. NCBI's taxonomy places the organism in Eukaryota, Metazoa, Chordata, Chondrichthyes, Orectolobiformes, Stegostomatidae.
GUCUGGACUGAAUGUGUGUGUGUGUGUGUGUGUGUGUGUGUGUGUGUGUGUGUGUGUGUGUGUGUUUAUAUCUACCAUGCCAUGCACAUAGGGGUGUCAGAGCUGACCAUUAAGUAUGUGGGAGAUCUUUCCCUUUAAUUGCGAGCAGUACUCAGUAUGCAACAUGGAAACCAGUAUGGAAAGCUGUCCUUCAUGUUAAAAUGAGGUUCCAUUACUGUUGUUAUCUUAUGAUGUGGAGUUCGAACUGUAUCGUUGAGGAAAAUCAAGCAGAUCAAUAUCAAGCUCCUUCUCUUAUCUUCAGAGAUCUGAUGGUCAUAUUCACGCUAAUUUAAAGACAAGACGGCUAUAAAAGAAGAAGGGUCCCAACCCUAAAUGCCAGCUUUCCUCCCUCUCUGAUGCUGCCUGGCCUGCAGUGUUCCUCCAGCUCCACACAGUGUUAACUCUGACUCCGGCACCGGCAGCUCUGAGUGUUUAGUCAAUUCUGCUUUUGAUCAUUUGGUACAAUAAAAGUUCCAAAACAUGAAGGUUUGACAGGUUCUUCUAUUAGUUGUUAACUGGAAACUUGAAUUUCUCAUCAGUUAUUAUUGGACUGGACAGAGAUCAUAAUAUUUAUUCAAGUUUGUUGUUGACCUGGCUGCCACAUUUGGGUAGGAAAGAGAUUUCUUUUGACUUGUUACAAUGAAAUGUGCAAGUGUUACAUCAGAACAUCAAUAGGCCAUUCAGCCCUAAUUCCAUUCUGCCAUUCAAUUAUAUCAUGGUUGACCAACACCUUGAUUCUAAUUGCCCAGCUUAUUUUUGUAAUGCCAUUAUAUAAAUAGAAAUCAGUUUUAAAUGUUAUAAUUUACUGCUCAGCCUCAACAGAUUUUUUUGAUGGUCAGAUUUUUGGGUAUCUACUUUGCAUGACAAAUUUUUCCGUGGCAUUGCUGAUAAAUGUCCUAACUCUAAUUUUGUUGCCAUGUCCCCUUGUUUUCCCAAACAUAAGAAAUAUUAUCUCUAUCUAUCCUGUCAAAUCCCUUAAUCAUCUUAAAAUCUCAGUUAGUUCACUUCUUAAUCUUCCAUGUGUAUAUUAUCAUAACAAGUUGUGUUGCGAGUUGCAUGUAUAUCAGGUUGUUUUUGCUGUUUUGGGAGGGUGGAUUAAUCUGUGAAUGGGUUGGGUUGGAUAUGUCACUGUGUAUAUCUGACAUGUGUUGCUUUUGAUUUAGUUGGAAGCAGCAAAAGGUGUUGAUACUAAGGGUGUAUUUGUGUUCUGAUGAUUGCAUUUUGCAACUUGCCAUUUCAUUUUCAAUCACAUAUUUUCUGUUUCAACAGUUAGUCAUUUUGCAUAUGUUAUCUGUAGAGUGUUGAGAUUUUUAAAACUAAAAUGUUUUCAAUGUAAUUCCUCUCCCUGUGAUGAACUUGGCACAACAACACGGUGUUUCUUCGGAGAUAGAUUAUUACGGCUCAGUUUGUCAUUAUUUAUGCUUGUUAUGGACCAGACCAAACCCCCUCAAAAUAUAUUAAGACGAUAGUCAAGACUCUAACUUUUUCUUAUUUUAAAGUGUAAAGCAUUGGGUUCUGGAUGUAAUUAAAUUGGUUAAACAUCCAAGGCUUGAAGCAAAACACACUUUAUUCAUACACUAUAAUUAAAAUACAAACAAAAUAAAGAAUUGACUUAACUAUAACUCUAUUGAAAUGCUUAAUAAACUUGCAAAUUCAGUAAAAUAGAUGGUCUCACAUGCAGUUUUAGCUGCAAGAAGAGAGCCUCAGCUUUUAGCUGUAACAGAGAGAGGAAUAAGAGCUUCCACAUCCUCCUUCAGGACCCCAACAACUGCUGAAAGCUAAAACUAAAACUCCUGGCUCUGUGGCCGCUUGACCCCACCCAUUCAGGCUGCUCCUCUAUUGUUCCAAUUUUUAAAAAACCCAGUUCACAAGCUGUUUAUUUUACUGGCUUUGAGCACACCUCUGUCUCAACGGCGACAGGGAGAGUGCAGGGAAGUGGAGUUGAAAUGUCCAUCAGCCAUGAUUUAAAUGACGGAGUGGACUCGAUGGGCCAAAUGGCCUUACUUCCACUCCUAUGUCUUAUGGUCUUAUGGUCAACCUUUUUUCAUAAAAAAAAGGCACAGUAUUGUAAUAUGCUACACAACUCCAGCGGUAGAAUCGCUACUGUUAAAAUUGUAACAUGAAUGCAUCCUACAUCUACUGUCAUGUAUUGCAUUUGCACUACUUGUUGACCAAAUUUUAAAGGGUUAUUUAAAAUAUAUCUUCGUGAACAAAAUUGCAAUGGUCUUAGAAACAAAAUCAGAAAUUGCCGCUGCAUGUCUGGCAGCAUCUGUGGAGAGAAUGCAGAGUUAACGUUUCAGGUCUGUUGGCCCUUCUUCAGAACAGUGUAAUGGCCACAGAGACAGGUAGUGAGGUAGAAUAGGGAAGAGAGGAAGCACUUUUUCACGUUAAUACUGGUAGACAUUUUGGACUCUCUCCCAGAAAGGUACAGGUGCUGUGACAAUUGGAAGUUGGAGGACUAGGCUAGAUGAGAAUUUUGUUAGGACUCGAUGGAUAUGGAACAGAGGUGGGAAAUCAGAGCGGAAUUGCAAAUCAGCCAUGAGCUGAUUGAAAAACAGAGGAGUGCAAGGGAGCUGAAUGGUCUGCUGUUAUGCUAAAUAUUUCCAUUACUCUUCACUCUUCUUUUACUCCUGUAUAAUAUAAAACACAAAGUUGGGAUCAAAUCAAAGACCUCUGUGUGACUGGUGUGCUCAUGUAGAAAAAUAUUCCAAGGCUUUUCAAUGAGGCAUGAGAAAACAAUGGUCAACAAACCAAAAGGGCCAUUUAGGAUGGCCUGAGCAAAGCGUGGUUGGGUAGAUUGACUUCCCUCAGAGGCCUAAAGGUACUAUGAAGCUUUUUCAUAUUGAAUAUCUAUUUGAGGGCUUAAGUUUGAAGCAUUGUGCAGAUUCAUGAAUUUACUUUCAGUGUCAAUCAAAAGAUAUUAGGAUAUUAUCUUAAUACGCUUCUGGAAAUUACCUGGCUUGUGAUAAUUUUUUGUUUUGGUGGCUUGAAGCCACUUCAGGAUGAGCAUCUGACAGUGUUAUGACUGGGUUUUAGGGCUCUCCUGUUUGAACAGUGUCUUCAGGGUUGAAGAUUCUGUUUUGGCAUGCUAAGAUCAAGCUGCCAAACUCAUGUCUCCUGGCUCCAAACCACAGUUACAGUGAAUUCAGUGUGAAACCUGAUACAAAUUCCAAGAUGGUGGUGAAUUAGGAUGCUUCAGUUCGAGCUCCUCUGCUCCAUCUGUUUAUUUCUCAUUUCCUUCAUUUUUCCCCCUUUUUUCCUCUUUUUCUUCCCCCUUUUUAGUGUUUUCACUCUCUUGGUGUUUCUUCACCUCUCCGUGACGGCUCUUGGCCUGGUCUCUUUGUGGCUCAUGGUGGAUAUUGGCCUGGUCUCUCGGCAGCUUGUGAUGGAUCACAGCCUGAUUGUCAGUGGUUUGUGGUGGGACUUGGCCUGGUCUCUCAGUGGUUUGUGGUGGGUCUCGGCCUGGUCUUUCAAUGGUUUGUGGUGGGCCUCGGCCUGGUCUCUCAGUGGUUUGUGGCAGGCUUUGGCCUGGUCUUUCAAUGGCUCUUGACUGGUCACUCUGUAGCUGGUUGCGAGUCUUGGCCUGGUCUCUCGGCCCAGCGUGAGAGUGGGUCUUGACUGGGCAUGUUCCUGUGACACCAAGGGAAAUCGGAGAGACGACAGCACCAGCAGCAGUGACGGUAUCUGCGGUGGCAACAUCAAGAACAGGCAGCUGUGGUCUCCCGAAGAGUGAGAUAAGAGGAGGACCCAUCAAAGACUGUUGAAUUUUUAACGUAUCCCUUUUAUUUUCCUUGUUUCAAUUAAGAAAGACUUUAAUGUAAACUAUUACCUUAUUUCUUUAUUUUACUACUUAUUCUAUGA